GUUUUUAUGGUGUAGAGCACAUUAAGAUUUUCGUUCUGAGGGCAUAGGGUUGUCCCCUAUUAAAAAUA
Molecule: transfer RNA, 68 nt
Filed under: Bathysciadiidae sp. MNHN-IM-2013-40843
Lineage: Eukaryota; Metazoa; Mollusca; Gastropoda; Bathysciadiidae
Description: tRNA-Glu
Source: RNAcentral